GGCAGGAACAGCUGGGGUAGUGUCACCCCUGCUUUGCCAGUGAGGAAGCCAAAGCUCUUCGGGGUCAGGGAGCACCGGAACUGGGACCGACUAGCACCCCAGCCACGGACAGCUGGAGACCAUGCCCCUGUGGCUUGAUUAGGGAGCAUGUCCACACAGGUGGCACUCCUGAGAAGGAGCACUUGUCCUGCAGCAGAGCCUGGCACUCUGUGCUGAUGUGGUCUCAGAGGACACGCGUCUGCCUGCCACUCACUCACCUGCCCCUUGGCCUGGUAAGGUUUCUAUUUGUAGCCUCUCUUACUUUUCCCCUCCUGGACACAGAUGAUGCCUGCAGAGGGCUGUGCCAGCCCUCCACCCACAUGGUCCUUCCUCACCCACCCACCCGCUGGCUGUGUGGCCACCAGCCCUGGCUUGGCAAGUUUCUCUCCUGACCCCAGCCUGAGGCUCACAUUGUAAGGCGCCUCUGGCAUGCCUGUGGGGGCUGCCAGCCUUGCCUGGGAAUUCCCCAGAGUGCCUGCGGGCCCUGAGUCCACCUUGGGGUGGGGCCAGUGGUGCCCCAGGGCAGCCACAG
RNAcentral lists this long non-coding RNA (571 nucleotides) under Marmota monax (woodchuck). The record is from RNAcentral. Lineage: Eukaryota; Metazoa; Chordata; Mammalia; Rodentia; Sciuridae.